GACGAACGCUGGCGGCGUGCUUAACACAUGCAAGUCGAACGGAAAGGCCCUGCUUUUGUGGGGUGCUCGAGUGGCGAACGGGUGAGUAACACGUGAGUAACCUGCCCUUGACUUUGGGAUAACUUCAGGAAACUGGGGCUAAUACCGGAUAGGAGCUCCUGCUGCAUGGUGGGGGUUGGAAAGUUUCGGCGGUUGGGGAUGGACUCGCGGCUUAUCAGCUUGUUGGUGGGGUAGUGGCUUACCAAGGCUUUGACGGGUAGCCGGCCUGAGAGGGUGAACGGCCACAUUGGGACUGAGAUACGGCACAGACUCCUACGGGAGGCAGCAGUGGGGAAUAUUGCACAAUGGGCGGAAGCCUGAUGCAGCAACGCCGCAUGCGGGAUGACGGCCUUCGGGUUGUAAACCGCUUUCGCCUGUGACGAAGCGUGAGUGACGGUAAUGGGUAAAGAAGCACCGGCUAACUACGUG
This 468-nucleotide ribosomal RNA is filed under the name uncultured bacterium. Its description in RNAcentral is "partial 16S ribosomal RNA". It matches the Rfam family "Bacterial small subunit ribosomal RNA", at positions 28 to 507 of the family's 1533-position model. The record is from RNAcentral.